Long non-coding RNA from Haliotis rubra (blacklip abalone), 362 nucleotides. RefSeq lists it as uncharacterized. The record is from RefSeq and is a predicted model, not a curated record. The transcript is spliced from 3 exons. Lineage: Eukaryota; Metazoa; Mollusca; Gastropoda; Lepetellida; Haliotidae.
AAGAAAUCAAGGGGAAAGAAAUCAAGAGGAAAGAAAUCAAAGGCAAAAGAAGGUGGAGGAAAGUGUAGGGACAAGGGGAGUGAAUGUCCAAAACUGGUGGAGAAGGGAUUUUGUACCGAUGAGACGCACCAGAAGAAGAUGAAGAAACGUUGCAAGAAGUCCUGCAACCUGUGCUGAAACUGGGCACAGUCUACAAAGACGAAUCAUUCCACCCGAGAAACAAUACAGAGAAACGACCUGGAGAAGCACCCCGUUACAUUUACUUUGAAUUCAUAUUUAGUAAAUAUUCCCCCACAUCAUCUUGCUUCAGUGCUGUUAUACGGUUCACUAACAAUAUGAUAUCUGAAAUAAACAUGUAAUUG